RNAcentral lists this ribosomal RNA (467 nucleotides) under uncultured bacterium. RNAcentral's name for it is "partial 16S ribosomal RNA". It matches the Rfam family "Bacterial small subunit ribosomal RNA", at positions 28 to 507 of the family's 1533-position model. The record is from RNAcentral.
GACGAACGCUGGCGGCGUGCUUAACACAUGCAAGUCGAACGGAAAGGCCUCUUUCGGGGGGUACUCGAGUGGCGAACGGGUGAGUAACACGUGAGUAACCUGCCCUUGACUUUGGGAUAACUUCAUGAAACUGGGGCUAAUACCGGAUAGGAGCUCCUUCUGCAUGGUGGGGGUUGGAAAGUUUCGGCGGUUGGGGGUGGGCUCGCGGCUUAUCAGCUUGUUGGUGGGGUAGUGGCUUACCAAGGCUUUGACGGGUAGCCGGCCGGAGAGGGUGAGCGGCGACAUUGGGACUGAGAGAAGGCACAGACUGCGACGGGAGGCAGAAGUGGGGAAGAUUGAACAAGGGGUGGAAGCCGGAUGCAGCAACGCCGUGGGCGGGAUGACGGUGUUCGGGUUGUAAAACGCUUUCGCUAAUGACGAAGCUUUGUGUGACGGUAGUGGGUAAAGAAGCACCGGCUAACUACGUG